This is a long non-coding RNA of Thalassophryne amazonica, 107 nucleotides long. RefSeq lists it as uncharacterized. The transcript is spliced from 3 exons. Lineage: Eukaryota; Metazoa; Chordata; Actinopteri; Batrachoidiformes; Batrachoididae. The record is from RefSeq and is a predicted model, not a curated record.
AUAUGACAAGGACCACUCUGGUAUGAUAGGAGCCACACGGGCGAGUGCACGUACCUUGAUGGAAAGAAAUCCAGGAUGCAGAGCCCCAGGGAAAUUAUUACACUCUU